UGGGAAUUUUGGACAAUGGACGCAAGUCUGAUCCAGCCAUGCCGCGUGCGGGAAGAAGGCCUUCGGGUUGUAAACCGCUUUUGUCAGGGAAGAAACGAGUUUCUCUAAUACAGAGACUUAAUGACGGUACCUGAAGAAUAAGCACCGGCUAACUACGUGCCAGCAGCCGCGGUAAUACGUAGGGUGCAAGCGUUAAUCGGAAUUACUGGGCGUGAAGCGUGCGCAGGCGGUUAUGCAAGACAGAGGUGAAAUCCCCGGGCUCAACCUGGGAACUGCCUUUGUGACUGCAUAGCUAGAGUACGGUAGAGGGGGAUGGAAUUCCGCGUGUAGCAGUGAAAUGCGUAGAUAUGCGGAGGAACACCGAUGGCGAAGGCAAUCCCCUGGACCUGUGCUGACGCUCAUGCACGAAAGCGUGGGGAGCAAACA
Molecule: ribosomal RNA, 426 nt
Filed under: uncultured bacterium
Lineage: Bacteria
Description: bacterial SSU rRNA
Rfam family: Bacterial small subunit ribosomal RNA
Source: RNAcentral